Molecule: ribosomal RNA, 458 nt
Filed under: uncultured soil bacterium
Lineage: Bacteria
Description: bacterial SSU rRNA
Rfam family: Bacterial small subunit ribosomal RNA
Source: RNAcentral
AGGAUAAACGCUGGCGGCGUGCCUAAUGCAUGCAAGUCGAACGGUCCGCAAGGACAGUGGCAGACGGGUGAGUAACGCGUAAGUGACCUAUCCACGAGUGGGGAAUAACUGCCCGAAAGGGUAGCUAAUACCGCAUGAAGUCGUCGGUUGAAUGCCGGCAGACCAAAGGAGUAAUUCGCUUGUGGAGGGCUUGCGUCCGAUUAGCUUGUUGGUGGGUAACGCCUACCAAGGCGAUGAUCGGUAGCUGGUCUGAGAGGACGAUCAGCCACACGGGGACUGAGACACGGCCCCGACUCCUACGGGAGGCAGCAGCAAGGAAUUUGCGCAAUGGACGAAAGUCUGACGCAGCAACGCCGCGUGAGGGAAGAAGGCCUUCGGGUUGUAAACCUCUUUUCUCGGGGAAGAUAAUGACGGUACCCGAGGAAUAAGUCUCGGCUAACUACGUGCCAGCAAGCCGC